RNAcentral lists this transfer RNA (93 nucleotides) under Paractinoplanes brasiliensis. RNAcentral's name for it is "Actinoplanes brasiliensis tRNA-Thr". The record is from RNAcentral. Lineage: Bacteria; Bacillati; Actinomycetota; Actinomycetes; Micromonosporales; Micromonosporaceae.
GCUGGGAUCGGACAGCCGGGCGAGGAUCCUGCGCCUGGUGCGCGCCGCCGGCGGUGGCGUCACCGCCGCCGAGGUCGCGGCCCAGACCGGGCA